This 406-nucleotide ribosomal RNA is filed under the name uncultured bacterium. RNAcentral's name for it is "partial 16S ribosomal RNA". It matches the Rfam family "Bacterial small subunit ribosomal RNA", at positions 30 to 525 of the family's 1533-position model. The record is from RNAcentral.
AUUGAACGCUGGCGGCAGGCCUAACACAUGCAAGUCGAACGAGUGGCGGACGGGUGAGUAAUGUCUGGGAAACUGCCUGAUGGAGGGGGAUAACUACGGGAAACGGUAGCUAAUACCGCAUACCAUCAGAUGUGACAAGAUGGGAUUAGCUAGUAGGUGGGGUAAUGGCUCACCUAGGCGACGAUCCAUAGCUGGUCUGAGAGGAUGAUCAGCCACACUGGAACUGAGACACGGUCCAGACUCCUACGGGAGGCAGCAGUGGGGAAUAUUGCGCAAUGGGCGCAAGCCUGAUGCAGCCAUGCCGCGUGUGUGAAGAAGGCCUUCGGGUUGUAAAGCACUGUCAGCGAGGAGGCGUUACUCGCAGAAGAAGCACCGGCUAACUCCGUGCCAGCAGCCGCGGUAAUUA